Molecule: non-coding RNA, 43 nt
Filed under: Trypanosoma brucei brucei
Lineage: Eukaryota; Euglenozoa; Kinetoplastea; Trypanosomatida; Trypanosomatidae
Source: RNAcentral
UAAAUCAUGCAGUGAAGAGCUACGUAAAUGGAUAGUCAGUGAU